Long non-coding RNA from Zingiber officinale, 941 nucleotides. RefSeq lists it as uncharacterized. NCBI's taxonomy places the organism in Eukaryota, Viridiplantae, Streptophyta, Magnoliopsida, Zingiberales, Zingiberaceae. The record is from RefSeq and is a predicted model, not a curated record. The transcript has 3 exons.
CAUCGAUUCUAAGCCAAACUGCUGUACUUGCAGGCAAUGGUGAAGGAGAUGCUCUCAAUGCACUCGCCGAUCCCGCUGUUGGUUCCCCAAAUGAACCUUGACGCGGCGAAGUUCGGUUGGUACGAAAUCCCCAAGCAGACGAAGGUCAUCGUGAACACAUGGUGACCGGGGAACAACCCCAACUGUCGGCUUCGAGUUGGAGAACAGAGAUUAAGCCCAGAAAGUGUUUGGGUUAUUGCCUGUGUGAAUGUGAAUAUUGUCCUUGACUUCAAACAUUUAUAAAACUUCAAAUUUUACGAAAACUAGAUAAAUUUGCCAACAGAAGACAUGUCUGGUGCAACUAAAGCCAAAGCAAAAAUCCUUACGCCUGGUUCAGUAGUUCCAAUGCCAUCAACUAAGGAAGGAAAGAAGACACUUCUCCUCAGUUAUAGUGCAAUCAACACCACUUGAUGGAGAAAGAACUGAAUUCCAGGAGGAAGGAUCUUUAGAUGAUUUUUGUUCCUCAUCUCUGCAAGCAAAAAAGAAAAAAAGGAAGCCAGAGCUUUGCCUAAAGAGUAGCUUGGAGAAACCAUCCAUGGACAGUCUUUCGGAUGUUCAAGCUGGGGAGAGAAAUAGUGUGCAGAGGAAAGAUCAGUGUGGAGAAAAGUUUGCUGAGAUCGUGGACUUUGAGUUCAGGAUCAAUGACGAAGAUGAUGACAGCGACGAAUGAAGCAGGAGUUGCAACAAGUGACGGUAAAAUGAUAGAUCAAGGAAUAGCCUACUUGCUUAUGAUGGUCGUGCUUCUCGUAACAUAUCUUCUCCAUUGAUGAUUUUCAUGGAUGACACGCUUCAUGUUUCUUUAUUCCCCAGAGAGAUAGUCAAUGAGAUUAAUUGAGAUUAUCAUUUUUUUUUUCAUUUUGUUUUCAUUGCUCAUUGUUGAGUGAAAAAAAAAUGAGAUCAUG